AUUGAACGCUGGCGGCAUGCCUUACACAUGCAAGUCGAACGGUAACAGGUCUUCGGAUGCUGACGAGUGGCGAACGGGUGAGUAAUACAUCGGAACGUGCCCGAUCGUGGGGGAUAACGGAGCGAAAGCUUUGCUAAUACCGCAUACGAUCUACGGAUGAAAGCAGGGGACCGCAAGGCCUUGCGCGGACGGAGCGGCCGAUGGCAGAUUAGGUAGUUGGUGGGAUAAAGCUUACCAAGCCGACGAUCUGUAGCUGGUCUGAGAGGACGACCAGCCACACUGGGACUGAGACACGGCCCAGACUCCUACGGGAGGCAGCAGUGGGGAAUUUUGGACAAUGGGCGAAAGCCUGAUCCAGCCAUGCCGCGUGCAGGAUGAAGGCCUUCGGGUUGUAAACUGCUUUUGUACGGAACGAAAAGACUCCUUCUAAUAAAGGGGGUCCAUGACGGUACCGUAAGAAUAAGCACCGGCUAACUACGUG
RNAcentral lists this ribosomal RNA (481 nucleotides) under uncultured bacterium. RNAcentral describes it as "bacterial SSU rRNA". It matches the Rfam family "Bacterial small subunit ribosomal RNA", at positions 30 to 507 of the family's 1533-position model. The record is from RNAcentral.